This 396-nucleotide RNase P RNA is filed under the name Gemmatimonadota bacterium. RNAcentral's name for it is "Gemmatimonadetes bacterium (sediment metagenome) RNase P RNA component class A". It matches the Rfam family "Bacterial RNase P class A". From Rfam's summary of the family: Ribonuclease P (RNase P) is a ubiquitous endoribonuclease, found in archaea, bacteria and eukarya as well as chloroplasts and mitochondria. The record is from RNAcentral. Lineage: Bacteria; Pseudomonadati; Gemmatimonadota.
GAGGUCGGGCGUGGUGAUCGCGGGGGCCAUUGGCCUCCGAGGAAAGUCCGAGCUCCACAGGGAAGACUGCCAGGUAACGCCUGGGCGCCGAGAGGCGACGGACAGGGCCACAGAGAACAGACCGCCGGUCAGGGCCGCGCGAGCGGCGAUGGCAGGCAAGGGUGAAACGGUGGGGUAAGAGCCCACCGCGGCGCUGGCAACAGCGACGGCACGGCAACCCCCAGUCGGAGCAAGGCCAAAUAGGCGGCGAGGUGCGUCCCGCACCGACCCCACCGCGCGAGCGGUGAGCCGCGGGUAGGCUGCUCGAGGCGGCCGGUGACGGCCGUCCCAGACAGAUGAUCGCCCCGCACGCGCGAGCGUGCGGAACAAGACUCGGCUUACGGCCUGGCCUCGUCC